Molecule: long non-coding RNA, 350 nt
Organism: Sapajus apella (tufted capuchin)
Lineage: Eukaryota; Metazoa; Chordata; Mammalia; Primates; Cebidae
Exons: 2
Source: RefSeq, a predicted model, not a curated record
UAGCCAGAGGCUUUACUGACCUUGGGAUACGUCUGUCCUCAGAAGGCUGAGGCAGGAGAAUCGAUUGAACCCAGGAGGCAGAGGUUGCAAUGAGCUAAGAUCACACCACUGCACUCCAGCCUGGCAACAAAGCGAGACUCUGCCUCAAAAAAAUAAAAGAUGUCGUUUCUGGGCCUACCACCUCUGAGAUCGGACCUUAACAUCCUCAAGGAACAGGACUGUGUCUUAUCUUCAUAUUCCAUGUGCAUGUAGUUGAUGAAUAACUGAAGGCAGCUUCUCUGAGCCUGUUUCCUCAACUAUAAAAUGGAAAGAGUAGCUAUAUCACCAAUAUAGUGAAGAAAGCGCCCAGC